CAACGUGCAUUGCCCAGUACGGCGAGUGAAGCGGCAAGAGCUCAAAUUUGAAAGCUGGCUCCUUCGGGGUCCGCAUUGUAAUUUGUAGAGGAUGCUUCGGGAGCGGUCCCCAUCUAAGUGCCCUGGAACGGGACGUCAUAGAGGGUGAGAAUCCCGUAUGGGAUGGGGUGUCCGCGCCCGUGUGAAGCUCCUUCGACGAGUCGAGUCGUUUGGGCUUGUGGUGGAGAGUCCAAAAGCGGAGCAUAGAGACCAUCAGCUCAGGUGGUGAGAGGGAGGCAAACUUCGCGCAACCAGCACAAGCCUCAUUGGUUGAUCCUGUCACACCUCGGGGGGGAGUGGUGCAAGACAGAAAGAACCAAUAAGAAGGAGGGUGGAGAUUACUCCCCAUAUGGAG
This 394-nucleotide ribosomal RNA is filed under the name Penicillium chrysogenum. RNAcentral's name for it is "eukaryotic LSU rRNA". It matches the Rfam family "Eukaryotic large subunit ribosomal RNA", at positions 66 to 387 of the family's 3401-position model. The record is from RNAcentral. Lineage: Eukaryota; Fungi; Ascomycota; Eurotiomycetes; Eurotiales; Aspergillaceae.